CUGUUUGGUAUUGAAGUCCUAUUAAAAACUAAAGAUGUUUCUUCUUUGUUUUACAGGACAGACCCAGUGCCUUCAAGGAAAUCACCUCACGCUGCCUCAGCAGGCAUUCUCUGUCAGUCCAGCUUUGGGUUCCCAUCUCCAGGCUAAAGCUGCAAAACCAGCUACCUCCAAGUUUACGGAACUCUUGAGGGACGUUUGGGCAGUUCUCCAGCCUCGGUCAGCAAGUGCCAGCCCGAGUGCAGGAUUUGCCCAUCUAUCCUGCACUUCAGGGCAGCGCCGAGUUCCCGGCAGGCUCUCGCCCUCUGCAAGCAGGCUGCUGUUGGUAUAGUGAAGUUGGGAGGGUGGUGGGAAGCCUGGCUGUAGACAGGACACAGAUACCUCCUGGGGAUCCCAGCCUGGCCACGUUCUCUCUUGGCAGUUCUGCACUCCUUUCUACUCCUCCAUCGACAGGGACUGGUUAUGCUGAGGAGCAGCCGUGUCUGCGGGUACGUCUUGAGUCUGUGCGUGCGUGAGCAUGCGUGCGCCUAGAAGAGGAGUGACACUCAGCAGGCCACGCUGCCUUGAGGGCUGCUGCCCGUUUAUUUAUCUACCCUUUACACAGCCUCAAAGCAGCAACGCAAAUUUGGGGUUUUCACACGGAGCCCAGAAUACUCGCUUAAACAAAAUGCUGCCGACGUUGUGCGUUGCAGACAGUGAAUCUGUGUGUUAACGUCUCGGCUGCUGGGUUUAACAGGAGGUUUGUCUCCCCUGCUCCUGCACACAAGCCAGCAUUUUAGCAUAGGGCUUUCCCCACAUCUUGCUUUGAACAUAUCCAAAGGCCGAAUACACUGCAGACAGCUGUAGUACCCUGCCCUGCCCUAACCUCUGCCGUGACCUAGAAGAACCACGCUGUCUGCUCCGUGAAAGGAGUUGAUUCAGCCCUUCAUGCCAGAUCAGCAGUCAGGCCCCUCCACAACACAAGCUACCGGUCGUGACAAAUUACAUGGGUUGGCUUCAGAAGGGAGCUGAGGACUGACCCGGCUCGCCUCACCCGCAGGCUUUGAAGCAGCACUUGAACCACACCUCUGGCAGGAGGGAGACUCUUUGUCUGCUGAGCCAGCCGCGCGCGUCCCGCCGAACGGAGCAAAUUCGGACCGGAGAGAUCGCUGGACUUAUUCUGUAAUUAGAAGGAAGAUUUCAGCUAAUCUCUCUCUAAAUGAGGGGCUAAUUCCUAGAGCAGAAACUUGUCAGCUGCUUGUUAACAGCUUCUCGGACCCACACUCACGUGGCCUUCAUUAUUUUUAGGAGCAUUUUCUGUUGUACGUUUUUGGUUUGGAACAGGAGCAUAA
This 1328-nucleotide long non-coding RNA is filed under the name Struthio camelus australis. RNAcentral's name for it is "lncRNA (ENSSCUG00000005002.1)". The record is from RNAcentral. Lineage: Eukaryota; Metazoa; Chordata; Aves; Struthioniformes; Struthionidae.